This 2051-nucleotide long non-coding RNA is filed under the name Cicer arietinum (chickpea). Its description in RNAcentral is "long non-coding RNA (CARI_LNC001057)". Lineage: Eukaryota; Viridiplantae; Streptophyta; Magnoliopsida; Fabales; Fabaceae. The record is from RNAcentral.
UAGAUUAAAAUAAAAUACAUUUUUCAAUUUGAAAUUGAUUUUUUUCUUUUGCAACUUAGGGACUAAUCUUAUCUUACAUUAAGCUAUGGAAUUUGAGGAAUUUGACUUUAAGAAUAUUCAGUUAAUUAAUCAAACGAUUUCUUUUUAAAGCCCCAUUUUCUUUUUCCUAAGGUUCCAUAUACAUGACCUCACAGAAGCAGAAAGAAGAAACACUAGAUAGUGAAAGCUAGGCCCCAUGAUUCAAAAUUGUACACAUAUGUAAAGGCCAUGCAUCUCCUUCCAUAUUAAUUGACACGAAAUAAAACUUUAUCUAACAUACAUAGACUAAUCAUACACAUCGAACAUGGGUUAAUGAGAAUUAAAAUUAAAGUUUGUGUAUGUUUUAAAUGAAACUAAUUUAGCCUUGAUUAGGUAGUGUAUGGUUUUCAUAUUCCUAAAAAAGAAGAAAAUAAUGGGGCAAGCAACAAAUAUGAAUAUAAUAGUAUAGUGGAUGACAUGUGAGUGACGACCAUUUUUGUGAGUGCUCCAAUUAAUUCCAAAGUAAAAAUUUUGAGUACACAACAACACACACGAGGGGGUGAAAGCUGUUUUUCUGUGCAAUGAAGUGUUGCUUUGGCUAGCUACCCUGUUGUCAGUGUUGUUUGUAUCAAAUGUAGUAAAAGUGAAAAACUGGCAAAAGAAAGCCUCCAUUCACAAACAUCCGCUACAAGUCACCACUGAUAUUGCACCAUACAUAGGUCCCCCUCUACUUCAAAUUUUACUUCUUCUUUCAAAUCCCUUUCACUACUUUAGUGCUGCUUUCAUUAUCAGCUAACCAAAAUUCAUUUCUAUUAAGUUCUUUCUAUAUACAAAUUUAUUUUAAAAUAUAUAACUACCAAAAUUAAUAUAUAAAAUAAAAUUUAUACAAUAUUGAAACUUAUGUUGCAUUAUUACAACUACUUAAUUGUUUUUGACGGUAUCAAAACUUUUAAAUUUAAAUGCAUAUUGCGCGACAGACUUUUCUAUAUUAAUAUAUAUAGUUUAAUUUGAUUCGAUAAACUAAAUUAAUUAAUCUUUUUGACACAUUUUUUGACACUACAUAUUGAUUAAAAACUGCCAUCAACCCAGUUGAAAAACAAAAUCUUGACGGCAAAAAUUAAUUCGAAAACGGUGCACCAUGUAUUCGCCAUGCAUUAUAAAAUUCAAAAUUAGUAAAUACAUUAAGGGUAAUAAAGGAAUAAUAGAAAUAUGUAUACACCACGAACCACUAAUUUUUCAGAAUCAUUAGACUUUGCCGUGGAAGCUUCAAUUAUUCCCAGCUUCACUUGGAGCAGCGUAAUUGCUUCACUUUUUUGCAACCAAUUAACAACAUUAGGAAAAAGGCAAAUCGCGUUUAACACUGCAAACGUGAGUUCACUACUUCCAAACGACUACUUAAUUACCACUCCUAAAACCGUAAUUCAUACAUAUUGUAUUUUUCUACUUUCUCCGUGACACAAUAACUAAAGAAAGGUUCAACUUAGCGUGCGUUUGGGUCAACAGUGAUUAAAAUUGAUUUUAUAAAAUUUAUUAUUAUUAAAAGUAAUCUGGAUGUGAAAUAAUUUAUGUAAAAAUGAGUUGAAUGAUAAAUUUUAAUAUAAAAAUCACGUUUAGAUAAAUUUUGGACUAUAAAUGAUUGCUUUAAGUUAGAAUCAAUUCCGGCAACAGAAUCAAUUCUACUCAAUGACACCAAAGCAUGCCAAAAUCAAUUAUUCCUUUUUAAAAUUAAUUUUGGCUCCCCAAAAUUGAAACAUAACAUGCACUUAAUGAGAAAUAAAAUGAAAUAAUACAUACCUUUUUCAUGAGGGUAAAGAUUAUUUUAUAGGUGGGGUUAUUAAAGAUAAUUGAUAUCGAAUCAGUUAGAAGGUUGCACAUCAACAAAUCAUCGUUUGAUUUUAAUCAGUGAAUGAUAGUCUAGUUACGUGAACGAGGCAUGUGUCCCUUUCACUUUAGGUCUUGAAUAAGUCAUAAUAGAUGUGCCUUAUUAAAAGGUUAGAAGGUUGCCCAUCAACAAAUUAUCUUCUUGUUAAAAU